Long non-coding RNA from Labrus mixtus (cuckoo wrasse), 1450 nucleotides. RefSeq lists it as uncharacterized. Lineage: Eukaryota; Metazoa; Chordata; Actinopteri; Labriformes; Labridae. The record is from RefSeq and is a predicted model, not a curated record. The transcript is spliced from 2 exons.
GGCAGUCUCCAUUUAACCACAUAGUCAUUGUACUAUCAAAAGGAUUUCAGUAACUGAUACAUUAGAAGCUGUUUCCAAGCAUAUUAUUUGUAUUACACUUCAUGUGCUUCUACUCAAAUAUUAAUAUGUUUUCUAACAGGCUCAAGUGACACAUGAUGACAAGUCAAUUGUAACCAUGAGUUACAUUUUUCAUUUCCCUCAUUAUCUGUGCAGCAGAACAGGAUAAUCUAAAGUCUUAUUUUGUUAGUUAGUUUGUAUCAGAUCGAACUCUCUCUCUCUCUCUCUCUCUCUCUCUCUCUCUCUCUCUCUCUCUCUCUCUCUCUCUCUCUCUCUCUCCCUCUCCCUCUCUCUCUCCCUCUCUCUCUCUCUCUCCUGGUAGUUGGGUGUGCUCUCUGUGGUGUCACAAUAGCCAGAUCUAAUGUUUCCAGGAUGGAUCCCAACCAUAAAAUGCUCUGCUCUCAACAUGUUCCCCUCCUGGGCAGAGAGAAAUCACUGACUCUCUGUCAGGAACAUCGGCCUGGUUUCACUUAAGAGCCACUGAUUGGGCAACAUAUGGACUGUUAAAAUCAUGAAUGUGCCUUUGUUCAAUACUUCCCUCUGUUACAAAAUUAGUCUGUGGACAAGGAUGAGCGUGAGAAUUGCAAAACAUUGAACUCUCAGCUCAUACUGAUUCAUUUCCUACUCUCUGCUGGGAUGUUUGAACACCCAUUUCCAGCAGUCAUGAUUAGGAGGAGGAAAUGAUGAAUGACUUCUUAAAUGUACUUAUCUUUAAGACAAAACUUGUUCAGCCAAAGAUCAAAAUUGAGCUUUACAUUCUGUCAAGUAUUGGGUGUUAAUUUACAUACACUGUAUAACUAUUUGUUUAUUGAACAACAACAGUUCAUUUACUUUUUAGGAAACAAAAAUUAAAAUGAAAACCAUCCAGUAAGCUUGAUAGUGUAUGUAUGCAUGAUUAAAGACAAAACCAAACAUUUUGACUUAUGAUAACUUACAGGAAAACAGUCAUGUUUAAAGCCUUGGAAUUUUGUUAGAGAAAUAUGAAAGUUGGAGAAAUUGUACAGAUUAUAUUGUAUAUGUUCAUAACUCUAUACCCAUACUAUCCUCAGAGGAAAAUGUGGUCCCUGUAACACUACAAUUCUACAAUUCACUUAGCAGACGCUUUUAUCCAAAGCGACGUACAUCAGAGAGUAAGUACAACACAAGCAAGGAUCUAGAAAAAAGGGAACAAUGUCAGUAAGAGCAAACGAUCAGCUUUGAGUCCGAUUGGACAUACAGGUGCUGACAGGAAGUGACCAGAGGCAAAGCACAACAUUGACAGCAGUUCUUGAGAGCUCUAAUCAGUAUAGAAACCAUCUUAUAAGUCAUUGUUACACUGUUUGAAGAUAAGAUGCUACAUGAGAAGUUGUGGGGGGGCCCGCAACAGUGAAAGCGUAACUCUCCUGGUAUCUUU